Molecule: transfer RNA, 71 nt
Filed under: Loxodonta africana (African savanna elephant)
Lineage: Eukaryota; Metazoa; Chordata; Mammalia; Proboscidea; Elephantidae
Rfam family: tRNA
About the family: Transfer RNA (tRNA) molecules are approximately 80 nucleotides in length. Their secondary structure includes four short double-helical elements and three loops (D, anti-codon, and T loops). Further hydrogen bonds mediate the characteristic L-shaped molecular structure. tRNAs have two regions of fundamental functional importance: the anti-codon, which is responsible for specific mRNA codon recognition, and the 3' end, to which the tRNAs corresponding amino acid is attached (by aminoacyl-tRNA synthetases). tRNAs cope with the degeneracy of the genetic code in two manners: having more than one tRNA (with a specific anti-codon) for a particular amino acid; and 'wobble' base-pairing, i.e. permitting non-standard base-pairing at the 3rd anti-codon position.
Source: Rfam by way of RNAcentral
ACACUGGUGGCUCAGAGGUAGAAUUCUCGCCUUCCAAGAGAUAGACCCAGGUUCAAUUCCUGACCUGUGCA